RNAcentral lists this ribosomal RNA (73 nucleotides) under Mycobacterium xenopi. Lineage: Bacteria; Bacillati; Actinomycetota; Actinomycetes; Mycobacteriales; Mycobacteriaceae. The record is from RNAcentral. RNAcentral also lists the same sequence under 1 other name.
GUCCAUAGCGGCUGGGAAACGCCCGGACCCAUCCCGAACCCGGAAGCUAAGCCAGCCAGCGCCGAUGAUACUA